Pelobates cultripes (western spadefoot toad) is the source of this 211-nucleotide non-coding RNA. Lineage: Eukaryota; Metazoa; Chordata; Amphibia; Anura; Pelobatidae. The record is from the annotation of a GenBank genome assembly.
UUAAAAUUAUUUGGUACCCCCCUUGACACCCCUAUGGCAUUAAUAUACAUAUAUAUAUAUAUAUGUGUGGGUAAAACCACCCUUUAUAGGGGUACUCCUUUUUGUCCUGAAGCAUGAAUGAGGUGUGUCAAGAGUACCUUGGGGAUUGUCAUGUGUUAUGUGUAUGGACAUAAUAACCUAGGCUAGGGCACAUUUACUUAUUCUUAGAAAU